GUUGCAUCUACCAUCUGCUGCUUCAACAGCUGCUUUGGCUACAGGAUAGGGCUGCUGGUUACCUCGACCUGAAGGCAGACGCUGGUUCAAGGUGCUCUUUCAUCACAUUUGUUAUGGUUGGCACUACAACCGCAGCUUUUUGGAGUACAGACAGUUUAACUUCUGUUUGCUGGCAGUAACACAAGCCCUGUUCUGCUAUGCAGCUGAAUCAGGUGCAGAGAUUUUUUUUCCAAAUGUAUUAAAUUGAAGGUGGAAAGUUUCAACUUUUCUGGUGCCCAGCUGGUCCAGUUACUGCACUGCCUCACUGGUGACUCCCUGCAUACUAAUGAUGAAAUAGAGGAAAGGGAAAGCUCUCCUCCUCUGUGACACACCACUCAAUCAGUCCCAUCUGGGAUGAGGCAUCCUCCUUAAAAUCAAAGUGCUGGAGCAGAUAAGAAAAAACAAGCAGUAAUAUCACGGACUACCUAUUUUGCAUUAUUCUAACGCAGAUAUCUUUGUAAAAAACUUAUUCACAGGUGCUUUGACGGUGG
Long non-coding RNA from Thunnus maccoyii (southern bluefin tuna), 530 nucleotides. RefSeq lists it as uncharacterized. The transcript is spliced from 3 exons. The record is from RefSeq and is a predicted model, not a curated record. Lineage: Eukaryota; Metazoa; Chordata; Actinopteri; Scombriformes; Scombridae.